UUGAAGAGUGGGGAGACCACUAACCCUAGAUCUAACCCAUUCAUUUCAUUUCUUCUAAAAAAUUCUCUCAUUCACCUCACACUCUUUCACCUUCCUCUUCAAACCCUAGUGCCGCCGCCGCAUCUAACCACCACCACCACACCAUCAAAUCCUCCUACCAACAUGAAUCACCACUUUCCAACUUGAUUCCCUUUGUUUUACGCCGUUCUCUGUCAAUCCACGCAGAAAAAUGGAGGCAGAUCCUGAAACUCUCUCUCACUCUCAGUAGCUAACACCACUGUAGAACCGUAAAUCGCCGUCGUUUUUGUUUCAUGAAUCACGUCUCUGCUCUGCAUAUGCUUCAGAUCUAAAGGUUAGAUAUUUUGUUUUUAAUCUUUGUAAUUUUUUAUUUUUAUUUAGGGUUUAUGAGUGUCUCACCACAUGCUUUUGUUUUUGUUUGAUGAUUCACAUCCAUGCUCCGCGUAUGCUUCAAAUCUGAAGACCGGCUUAGGAAACUUCCAUAUCACUGAAUAUUUUUCCAGAUCCGAGAGACACAUGAAAACUGAUACUGCUAGUGUGAAUCCUUUGGCUCAAAUUCCAAUUCUAGUGCAAGGCCAAGGACCUGAACAUGCUAAGGUAGUGCUAAAACUAAAGAAAAGAAAACCUGCUAGACCUCCUUCAAUGGUUUGGAGACAUUUUAUGAAGAAAAAAGACACUGCCUUUUGUAACUAUUGCUUCACUUCUUUUGUUUCAAAUGCUUCCAACCAUCGAACUAACAACAUGCUUAAACACAUGAUGAUUUGUCCAAAAACAUGAAGGUUAACAAUAUUCUUACUUGCUAUGAUGGUAUCUCUUGAUCUAUUGUGAAUCAAGAUAUACCAAGGAGGUGUUAUUUUUUGUUAUUCAGAUCCAGUUUUAGUAUUAUUAUAUUCAAGACCACUAUAUUUAGUUUUUUAUUUAUUAAGGAUAUGUAAAUUGUUAAACUUAUUUUUAUUGGUUGUGUAAGUUAAAUUAAGGCUCGAUAUCAAAUGGGAAAAUGAGACAUCAUCAUCCCCCUUUAA
Medicago truncatula (barrel medic) is the source of this 1040-nucleotide RNA transcript. RefSeq lists it as uncharacterized. The record is from RefSeq and is a predicted model, not a curated record. NCBI's taxonomy places the organism in Eukaryota, Viridiplantae, Streptophyta, Magnoliopsida, Fabales, Fabaceae. The transcript is spliced from 4 exons.